Pundamilia nyererei is the source of this 447-nucleotide long non-coding RNA. RefSeq lists it as uncharacterized. NCBI's taxonomy places the organism in Eukaryota, Metazoa, Chordata, Actinopteri, Cichliformes, Cichlidae. The transcript has 2 exons. The record is from RefSeq and is a predicted model, not a curated record.
AAGCAGCACUGAGCUGGGUGUGGGCAUAGCCACUGAUGGCAAUACGGUCUUUGUGGUUGGGCAGUACCGCCCAGCUGGUAACAUUACCAAUGCAGGAUACUAUCAGAAAAAUGUCCUCCCAAAAGGAACAGAGUAAAACUUUCCCAGUGUCAGAGAGGGAGCUGCAGCAGACAACAGACCUCAGUGCCCAGAGAAAAUGACCUGGACCGUAUUGGACCCAUCACAUGUGGUUUCCUUCAAUGUUCCGAGAUUGAACACCAAAAAAUACGCCUGUUGCAUCAAACACGAUUUUACACAACUGUCUAGUCAAAUACUGUCUAAGUAGAAUUGGUGUUUUGAUCAUCAUCAGUGAAUAAUUUUUGAGUAAUGUUUCAAUGAUUUGAGUGCAGUACAAAUAAAAACAAAAGUCUUUGUGCUUGUUGUCCCCACACGAUAAUAACUGAAGAA